This 379-nucleotide long non-coding RNA is filed under the name Mytilus galloprovincialis (Mediterranean mussel). Lineage: Eukaryota; Metazoa; Mollusca; Bivalvia; Mytilida; Mytilidae. The record is from RNAcentral.
GUCUUUGUUAAAUUUGCACUUUUCAAAAAAAAUUGUAGAAUUUAUCUUUGUUUAAAAUGAAGAAAUACUUGGCAUGAGUAAAGUUUUAUCCUGUCCAGUACUAUAGAAAAAAAAUCACAUAACAUUGCAUUGCAUAUAAGAAAAUAACCAUCACUGGAAGCUAACCAAUCAAAUUUCUCCCCUUAUUUUAUCUGUGUACAAGGUUUAGUCACCAUGUAACCUCAAGAUUACAAAAUAUUCUAUAGAAAUCCCAAAUAAAAAAAUUAUGGUGCUUUGAAAUACCCAAGACAUAUGUUUAUGACACAGAAAUCUUUUACUGCAAUAAAAUGUAGGAUUAAUUACCUACAACUGUCAAAUUCAAGGGAAUAUUUUUUUCGAC